GUUGGGUAGGGGAGCGUUCUGUAAGCCUGCGAAGGUGUACUGUGAGGUAUGCUGGAGGUAUCAGAAGUGCGAAUGCUGACAUAAGUAACGAUAAUGCGGGUGAAAAACCCGCACGCCGGAAGACCAAGGGUUCCUGUCCAACGUUAAUCGGGGCAGGGUGAGUCGACCCCUAAGGCGAGGCUGAAAAGCGUAGUCGAUGGGAAACGGGUUAAUAUUCCCGUACUGGUGGUAACUGCGAUGGGGGAACGGAGAAGGCUAGGUUGUCCGGGCGACGGUCGUCCCGGUUCAAGCAGGUAGGCAGAGUGAUUAGGCAAAUCCGGUCACUUAAUGCUGAGAUGUGAUGACGAACCACCAAGGUGGUGAAGCAAUUGAUGCCCCGCUUCCAGGAAAAGCCUCUAAGCUUCAGGUUACCAACAAUCGUACCCCAAACCGACACAGGUGGUCAGGUAGAGAAUACUCAGGCGCUUGAGAGAACUCGGGUGAAGGAACUAGGCAAAAUGGUGCCGUAACUUCGGGAGAAGGCACGCUGGCGGUAGGUAAAGUCCCUCGCGGACGGCGCUGAAGCCAGUCGAAGAUACCAGCUGGCUGCAACUGUUUAUUAAAAACACAGCACUGUGCAAACACGAAAGUGGACGUAUACGGUGUGACGCCUGCCCGGUGCUGGAAGGUUAAUUGAUGGGGUUAGCGUAAGCGAAGCUCCUGAUCGAAGCCCCAGUAAACGGCGGCCGUAACUAUAACGGUCCUAAGGUAGCGAAAUUCCUUGUCGGGUAAGUUCCGACCUGCACGAAUGGCGUAAUGAUGGCCAGGCUGUCUCCACCCGAGACUCAGUGAAAUUGAACUCGCUGUGAAGAUGCAGUGUACCCGCGGCAAGACGGAAAGACCCCGUGAACCUUUACUAUAGCUUGACACUGAACAUUGAGCCUUGAUGUGUAGGAUAGGUGGGAGGCUUUGAAGUGUGGACGCCAGUCUGCAUGGAGCCAACCUUGAAAUACCACCCUUUAACGUUUGAUGUUCUAACCUAGGCCCAUAAACUGGGUCGGGGACCGUGUCUGGUGGGUAGUUUGACUGGGGCGGUCUCCUCCUAAAGAGUAACGGAGGAGCACGAAGGUUGGCUAAGCAUGGUCGGACAUCAUGCGGUUAGUGCAAAGGCAUAAGCCAGCUUGACUGCGAGAGUGACGGCUCGAGCAGGUACGAAAGUAGGUCUUAGUGAUCCGGUGGUUCUGAAUGGAAGGGCCAUCGCUCAACGGAUAAAAGGUACUCCGGGGAUAACAGGCUGAUACCGCCCAAGAGUUCAUAUCGACGGCGGUGUUUGGCACCUCGAUGUCGGCUCAUCACAUCCUGGGGCUGAAGUAGGUCCCAAGGGUAUGGCUGUUCGCCAUUUAAAGUGGUACGCGAGCUGGGUUUAGAACGUCGUGAGACAGUUCGGUCCCUAUCUGCCGUGGGCGUUGGAAGAUUGAGAGGGGUUGCUCCUAGUACGAGAGGACCGGAGUGAACGCACCACUGGUGUUCGGGUUGUCAUGCCAAUGGCAUUGCCCGGUAGCUAAGUGCGGAAGAGAUAACCGCUGAAAGCAUCUAAGCGGGAAACUUGCCUCGAGAUGAGUCUUCCCUGUCGCUUUAAGCGACCUAAAGGAACGUUUAAGACUAAGACGUUGAUAGGCUGGGUGUGUAAGCGUAG
RNAcentral lists this ribosomal RNA (1675 nucleotides) under Proteus mirabilis. RNAcentral's name for it is "partial 23S ribosomal RNA". It matches the Rfam family "Bacterial large subunit ribosomal RNA", at positions 1223 to 2878 of the family's 2925-position model. The record is from RNAcentral. Lineage: Bacteria; Pseudomonadati; Pseudomonadota; Gammaproteobacteria; Enterobacterales; Morganellaceae.